Long non-coding RNA from Gossypium arboreum, 1137 nucleotides. RefSeq lists it as uncharacterized. The record is from RefSeq and is a predicted model, not a curated record. The transcript is spliced from 2 exons. NCBI's taxonomy places the organism in Eukaryota, Viridiplantae, Streptophyta, Magnoliopsida, Malvales, Malvaceae.
UGACAUUCUGGGAAAUAGUUUCUAAAAUCUGUUUUGCAUUUUUCGGGGUUUUCUCAGUAUACUUCAACUCCAUUAUCACUGGAAAAACUCGAUAAAGGUAGCAUCCAGCUUCAAAGAAACUCUCCUGCUCUACUUCUAUGCACUCUACUGAUUCUGUGACUACUGUAAUAUCAGCCAACAAGGAUUCAAAAAGACCAGCAAAGGCAGUGUUGUCUAUCUGAAAAAGGAAAAAAAGAUCAAAAGAAUUGAGAUGUUGGAUCAGUAAUGAUUUCUUCAAGCUAUAAGCCAAGAUAUAAGUAUUUUCUUUUUCUUGUAAUUCAGAAAAUAAGGCCAAUAUGCAUAGUCCAGGAUACAAUCAAAGCAUUGCUCAUGACUUGAAGAUGAAUUUGCUUGUUUGACAAAAAUAGAAACAGAUGGUGAUCACUUUGGUGAUUUCAUUUGUCUCAUAUGAACAAAUCUCAGCUAUAUAAUCAUAUCUAUUUAUCUAAAAGCAUGGGAUGCUUGAAGGUUCACCAGGAUUAAUUCAUAGGAAUCAUUCUCAUAAGUUGGCAAUUUUCUAGUCUAUGAUUGUACUUCACCAAUCUAAACAUAUCUUAUCUGGAUUCAAGUAUCGGAUACAGAUGAUAUUGAAACAUGGAAAUGCUAAUAAGCAAGUUUUAAUGGAGGAAUAAUUGAUCCUGAGCCUCUAGAUUGCUACUUAACAAAGAAUUAAAAGGCAGUUACAGAGAGAGAAAGAUUUUGAAAAAGCUCGUACCGACAUCGUCAAACCGCAGCCGUCCGUGUAUUUGGCGUAGUUGCAGAACCUGAAGACUUGAGAGUUUCUGGGAGUUACAAAGAUGUUUUAAGAAAAAAGGUAGCUCAUUGAAUAAGUCUCUUUUCAUGUCAUCAUCCAUAAGGUGAAAAUCUUUAAUUUCUUGAUAUCAAAAGUCAAAGCUCUGCAUUUACUUUUAUUUUGAGAUACAGAUUGCGUAUGUUUUUAUAUGGUACUUUGAUGCAUAUGCAUAUACAUAUACAUAUUUGGAUAUGGAGAAACAAUCAAGACUUUUAAGGUUUAGGACUUGAAAUUGGUGUUGACGAAUUGUUUAAUAUAUUUUCUAAAGUUUCAUUCAGGGAGGGCCUUAGCCCCCUCAGAUAAAA